UGUGUGCCAUUGACAAGGGGAGUUUCAAAGAAGGGAGUGCACCUUCAUCUUUGGCCAGCUGGAUACAGACAACAAAGCCAUAAGAGAUGACCGAACCACAAACCAGUAGGGCCUCAGGGCUCCUGGCUCCGUGUGGAGUAAAGCUAGCAGCUGUUAAGGACAAGAAACCAUAUGGCAAAGCGCUUACUGGCUCUGACCGUCUCUGCACAUCCGUUCCAUUCACAUUUUCUAGGCCAAGCAAGUCACAUGGUCACAUCUAGCCGCAAGUGCACAGGUAAGUGCAAAUGUGGCUUGUGGGGACGAGAGCUGUAGAAUGUUUGAGAGCCUUCCCAGUGACUGCACACCUUCUCAACACCUUUCAAAGUAAGGAAAACAAUACCGCUUGGACCGCACAAAAUAACCUGCCCUCAUUCUUUCUUCUGCCACAGCAAGGAAUAAAGUUGUAGAUGGCGGCUGCUCUAAUGACAAAGAACAGAGUCUCCUGCUGACCCUUGACCACCGCCUAGUGUGAGCAAGCAAACAAACAUCAUGUCUUAAACGGUGGAGCUGUUGGCGUCUUUGUUGCUGUGGCUCAACUCACCCAUCUGAGGGCUGCAGUUAGGGCUUGUCCCACACCCGGCCCACACCCCCGGGCCAGUUCGCUAAUUGACUUGACUGUGUGAAUUCGCAAGGCUGCUUUACACGACACUGUCUUCCUGAAAUCUGCACCUGUACCAAGUUAGGUGCCCGUCAUCUGUCUGACAAACAAAGCUAGUGCUUUCAAUGUUGCCUUUCAGUGUGAUUAAGUAUGCUAGUGAACCUACUGUUUUAAGGUUCUUGAUAAAAAAAUGUCAAAACAAGUAAUAGGUAAUAUUCUCUAAUGAUGCUAAUUAUUCUUUUAAAUGCUUUGAUGCUGCUUUCUCUCCUGUGUGCCUGACCUAGCUUAUCUAAUCUUGCUUAGGCUUGUAACUGAAUGUCCUGUAAUACUAUUUGAAAAACACACACAUACAUAACCACUGAUACAAACGAAUCAGUGCUAAAAUGAAAGCUUUUUCAUACCAUGGCAACUAUUCAUAAAAAGGUUCACAUAAGCUAUUAGAGUCUUUUAUUUCCUGUUUCCAUUUUUAUCGAUGUGAAAUGAUUGUUGCAUAAAGCGCAAGGAAGCCA
This is a long non-coding RNA of Leopardus geoffroyi (Geoffroy's cat), 1146 nucleotides long. RefSeq lists it as uncharacterized. Lineage: Eukaryota; Metazoa; Chordata; Mammalia; Carnivora; Felidae. The transcript has 2 exons. The record is from RefSeq and is a predicted model, not a curated record.